CCUACGGGAGGCAGCAGUGAGGAAUAUUGGACAAUGGGCGCAAGCCUGAUCCAGCCAUGCCGCGUGCAGGAAGAAGCAUCUAUGGUGUGUAAACUGCUUUUGUACAGGAAGAAACACUCCCUCGUGAGGGAGCUUGACGGUACUGUAAGAAUAAGGACCGGCUAACUCCGUGCCAGCAGCCGCGGUAAUAUGGAGGGUCCGAGCGUUAUCCGGAAUCAUUGGGUUUAAAAGGGUCCGUAGGCGGUUUAAUAAGUCAGUGGUGAAAUCUGGUCGCUCAACGAUCAAACGGCCAUUGAUACUGUUAGACUUGAAUUAUAAGGAAGUAACUAGAAUAUGUAGUGUAGCGGUGAAAUGCUUAGAUAUUACAUGGAAUACCAAUUGCGAAGGCAGGUUACUACUUAUGGAUUGACGCUGAUGGACGAAAGCGUGGGGAGCGAACAGGAUUAGAUACCCUGGUAGUCCACGCCGUAAACGAUGGAUACUAGCUGUUCGGAGCAAUNUNGUGNUAGAGAGUAGAGAGUAUCCACCGNGGAGGUAACGUUCGUCGAGAGUAGAAGUUACGAAGAGAGUUAGNGNGNGAGAGNGCGACGACGACGACGGAGGAGGAGG
RNAcentral lists this ribosomal RNA (609 nucleotides) under uncultured bacterium. Its description in RNAcentral is "bacterial SSU rRNA". The stretch from base 1 to 528 matches the Rfam family "Bacterial small subunit ribosomal RNA", at positions 338 to 873 of the family's 1533-position model. The record is from RNAcentral.